RNAcentral lists this ribosomal RNA (253 nucleotides) under uncultured bacterium. Its description in RNAcentral is "partial 16S ribosomal RNA". It matches the Rfam family "Bacterial small subunit ribosomal RNA", at positions 524 to 776 of the family's 1533-position model. The record is from RNAcentral.
UACGGAGGGGGCUAGCGUUGUUCGGAAUUACUGGGCGUAAAGGGCGUGUAGGCGGCCUGCCAAGUCAGAUGUGAAAGCCCCGGGCUUAACCUGGGAACUGCAUUUGAGACUGGCCGGCUCGAGGCUGGAAGAGGAGAGUGGAAUUCCCAGUGUAGAGGUGAAAUUCGUAGAUAUUGGGAAGAACACCGGUGGCGAAGGCGGCUCUCUGGUUCGCUCCUGACGCUGAGGUGCGAAAGCGUGGGGAGCAAACAGG